CCCUUAGAUGUCCUGGGCCGCACGCGCGUUACACUGAUGCAUUCAACGAGCUUAUAACCUUGGCCGAGAGGCCUGGGCAAUCUUGUUAACGUGCAUCGUGAUAGGGAUAGAUUAUUGAAAUUAUUAAUCUUGAACGAGGAAUUCCUAGUAAACGCAGAUCAUCAAUCUGCAUUGAUUACGUCCCUGCCCUUUGUACACACCGCCCGUCGCACCUACCGAUUGGAUGGUCCGGUGAAGCCUCGGGAUUGUGGUUCUUGCCGCUUUAUUGUGGCGUGACCGCGAGAACUUGUCUAAACCUAUCAUCUAGAGGAAGGUGAAGUCGUAACA
This 327-nucleotide ribosomal RNA is filed under the name uncultured eukaryote. RNAcentral describes it as "partial 18S ribosomal RNA". It matches the Rfam family "Eukaryotic small subunit ribosomal RNA", at positions 1470 to 1796 of the family's 1831-position model. The record is from RNAcentral.